GACGGAGGGUGCAAGCGUUGUUCGGAAUUACUGGGCGUAAAGCGCGCGCAGGCGGGGAGGUAAGUCUGGAGUGAAAUUCCGGGGCUCAACUCCGGAGCUGCUUUGGAUACUGUCUUUCUAGGGACCGGUAGAGGCCGGUGGAAUUCCCGGUGUAGCGGUGGAAUGCGUAGAGAUCGGGAAGAACACCCGUGGCGAAGGCGGCCGGCUGGGCCGGAUCCGACGCUGAGGCGCGAAAGCGUGGGGAGCGAACAGG
This 253-nucleotide ribosomal RNA is filed under the name uncultured bacterium. RNAcentral describes it as "partial 16S ribosomal RNA". It matches the Rfam family "Bacterial small subunit ribosomal RNA", at positions 524 to 776 of the family's 1533-position model. The record is from RNAcentral.